AAUUAAUGAACUUGUUAUAAGUAUAUAUUUUGAAAAUAUAAAAAAGAAGACAUCCUUCUAUUAAUUU
This 67-nucleotide transfer RNA is filed under the name Staphylinidae sp. BMNH 1274241. RNAcentral's name for it is "tRNA-Ser". Lineage: Eukaryota; Metazoa; Arthropoda; Insecta; Coleoptera; Staphylinidae. The record is from RNAcentral.